RNAcentral lists this transfer RNA (71 nucleotides) under Stegodyphus mimosarum. It matches the Rfam family "tRNA". Rfam says of the family: Transfer RNA (tRNA) molecules are approximately 80 nucleotides in length. Their secondary structure includes four short double-helical elements and three loops (D, anti-codon, and T loops). The record is from Rfam by way of RNAcentral. Lineage: Eukaryota; Metazoa; Arthropoda; Arachnida; Araneae; Eresidae.
GUCUUCAUGGUGUAAGUCUACAUGCUCGGCUCGUAACCGAGAGGUCCGUGGUUCGAUUCCUGGCGAAGGCG